GCCGGGGUGGCCGAGUGGUUAGGCAGCGGGCUGCAGACCCGCUAUACGGGGGUUCAAAUCCUCUCCCCGGCU
Molecule: transfer RNA, 72 nt
Filed under: Candidatus Bathyarchaeota archaeon
Lineage: Archaea; Thermoproteati; Candidatus Bathyarchaeota
Description: tRNA-Cys
Rfam family: tRNA
About the family: Transfer RNA (tRNA) molecules are approximately 80 nucleotides in length. Their secondary structure includes four short double-helical elements and three loops (D, anti-codon, and T loops). Further hydrogen bonds mediate the characteristic L-shaped molecular structure. tRNAs have two regions of fundamental functional importance: the anti-codon, which is responsible for specific mRNA codon recognition, and the 3' end, to which the tRNAs corresponding amino acid is attached (by aminoacyl-tRNA synthetases). tRNAs cope with the degeneracy of the genetic code in two manners: having more than one tRNA (with a specific anti-codon) for a particular amino acid; and 'wobble' base-pairing, i.e. permitting non-standard base-pairing at the 3rd anti-codon position.
Source: RNAcentral